Long non-coding RNA from Gasterosteus aculeatus aculeatus (three-spined stickleback), 15179 nucleotides. NCBI's taxonomy places the organism in Eukaryota, Metazoa, Chordata, Actinopteri, Perciformes, Gasterosteidae. The record is from Ensembl.
AUAUCCAUCCAUCCAUCCAUUUUCAACCGCUUAUCCGGGGUCAGGUCGUGGGGGCAACAGCUCCAGCAGGGGACCCCAAACUUCCCUUUCCCGGGCCAUAUCUACCAGCUCUGACUGGGGGAUCCCAAGGCGUUCCUAGGCCAGUGCAGAGAUAUAAUCUCUCCACCUAGUCCUGGGUCUUCCCCGGGGCCUCUUCCCAGCUGGCCGUGCCUGGAACACCUCCCUAGGGAGGCGCCCAGGGGGCAUCCUCACCAGAUGCCCAAACCACCUCAACUGGCUCCUUUCGACGCAAAGGAGCAGCAGCUCUACUCAGAGCUCCUCGCGAAUGGCUGAGCUUCUCACCCUAUCCCUAAGGGAGACGCCAGCCACUCUCCCGAGGAAACCCAUUUCGGCCGCUUGUACCCGUGACCUAGUUCUUUCGGUCAUGACCCAUCCGUCAUGACCAUAGGGAGGGUAGGAACGAAGAUUUACCGGUAGAUCGAGAGCUCUGCCUUCCGGCCCAGCUCUCUUUUUGUCACAACGGUGCGAUAAAGCGAGUGCAAUACCGCCCCCGCUGCUCCGAUUCUCCGGCUAAACUCACACUCCAUCUUCCCCUCACUCGUGAACAAGACCCCGAGGUACUUGAACUCCUUCACUUGGGUUAAGGACACAUUCCCUACCUGGAGUAGGCAAUCCAUCGGUUUACUGCUGAGAACCAUGGCCACAGAUUUAGAGGUGCUAAUCCUCAUCCCGACCGCUUCAUAGUUGACUGCGAAACGCUCCAGUGAGAGUUGGAGGUCACAGACAGAAGAUGCCAUCAGGACCACAUCAUCUGCAAAAAGCAGCGAUGAGAUCCGCAGCCCCCCGAACUGUAGACCCUCCUCCCCCCGACUACGCCUCGAUAUCCUGUCCAUGAAAACCACAAACAAGAUUGGUGACAAGGCGCAGCCCUAGCGAAGGCCAACCCCCACUGGAAACGCCUUCGACUUACUGCCGAGCACCCGAACACAGCUCUCGCUUUGGGCGUACAAGGAUUGGAUGGCCCCAAGCAAGGACCCCUCACCCCGUACUCCCGCAGCACCUCCCACAGUAUCUGUCGGGGGACCCGGUCAUACGCCUUCUCAGAGUCCACAAAACACAUGUAGACUGGAUGAGCAUACUCCCAAGCCCCCUCUAUGAUCCUGGAAAGAGUGAAGAGCUGGUCCGUUGUUCCACGACCAGGAAGAAAACCACAUUGUUCCUCUUCAAUCCUUGGUUCGACUAUCGGCCAAACCCUCCGUUCCAGCACCUUAGAGUAGACUUUACCCGGGAGGCUGAGUAGUGUGAUACCCCUGUAAUUGGCACACACUCUCUGGUCCCCCUUUUUGAAGAGGGGUACCACCACCCCGGUCUGUGGCACUGUCCCAGACUUCCACGCAAUGUUGAAGAGGCGUGUCAUCCAAGACAACCCCCCAACACCCAUUGCUUUUAGCAUCUCUGGACGGAUCUCAUCAAUCCCCGGGGCUUUGCCACUGCGGAGUUGUUUGACUAGCUCAGUGACCUCCACCAGGCCAAUUGACGAUGAUCCCAGCUCCGUCUCUACCAAAGAGGGCGUAGUAGUUGGGUUCAGGAGUUCCUCAGGUGUUCCUUCCACCGCCCGAUAGCCUCCUCAGUCGCGGUCAACAGGGUCCCAUCCUUACUGUACACAGCUUGGAUGGUUCCCCGUUUCCCCCUCCUGAGGUGCCGGAUGGUCUUCCAGAAGCACUUUGGUGCCGACCGAAAAUCCUUUUCCAUAGUUACCCCAAACUCCUCCCAUACUCGCUGCUUUGCCUCCAUCACGGCAGAGGCUUCUGCCCUUCGAGCCUGUCAGUACACUGCAACUGCCUCUGGAGUCCCACCGGAUAUCAUAACCCGGAAGGCCUCCUUCUUCAGUCGGACGGCUUCCCUGACCACCGGUGUCCACCACGGGGUUUGAGGGUUACCGCCCCUUGAUGCACCUAAGACCUUGAGGCCACUCACUGCCGCGGCUUCAGCAAUGGAGGUUUUGAACAUACACCACUCUGGUUCAAUGUCCCCUACCUCCACAGGAAUGUGAGAGAAGCUCCGCCGGAGGUGUGAGUUGAAAAUCUUUUGGACCGGGGCCUCCUCCAGACGUUCCCAGUUCACCCUCACUACACGCUUGGGUUUACCGGGUCUGUCCCGAUCUGACCCAGCUCACAACCAGAUGGUGAUCAGUUGACAGCUCUGCCCCUCUCUUUACCCGAGUGUCCAGAACAUGCGGCCUCAGAUCAGACGAUAAGAUUACAAAAUCGAUCAUUGAUCUUUGGCCUAGGGUGCUCUGGUAACACGUACACCUAUGAUCAUCCUAAUGUUCGGACAUGGUGUUUGUUAUGGACAAUCCGUGUCUGGCACAGAAGUCCAGUAACAAACACCCGCUCGGGUUCAGAUCAGGGAGGCCAUUCCUACCCAUCACGCCUCUCCAGUUAUCUCCAUCUUCGCCCACGUGCGCAUUGAAGUCUCCCAGUAGGACUAUGGAGUCCCCUACUGGAGCCCCAUGCAGGACUCAGUUCAGGGUCUCCAAAAAGGCUGAAUACUCUGAGCUGCCGUUUGGUGCAUAUGCACAGACAACAGUCAGAGUUUUCCCCCCCACCACCCGAAGGCGUAGGGAGGCGACCCUUUUGUCCACCGGGGUAAACUCCAAUGUAGCAGCACUCAGCCGGGGACUUAUGAGUAUCCCCACACCCGCCUGGCGCCUCGCACCAUGGGCCACUCCGGAGUAGAAUAGAGUCCACCUCCUAUCCAGGAGUGUGGUUCCAGAGCCGAGGCUGUGCGUAGAGGUAAGCCCCACCAGAUCCAACUGAUAACGCUCCACCUCCCGCACAAGCGCCGGCUCCUUCCUCCCCAGAGAGGUUACGUUCCACGUCCCCAGAGCCAGCAUCUGUCGCCCAGGUCUGUUCCGUCUAGACCCCCCACUGUUACUGCCACGCGACCCCAUCGGUUUCCUCCACAGGUGGUGAGCCCAUGGGGAGUAGAGUCUUGGGCUGCCGCGUCACUCCUUCUGGCUGUGCCCGGCCGGGCUCCGCGGUAAACCCGGCCACCAGACGCUCGCUGUCGGGCCCUCCAUCUGGGCCUGGCUCCAAAUGGGGGCCCCGGGCUUCCUCCGGGAAACUCCUUCUCUAUAUCUCAUCUCUAUACAUCUCUCUUCUGUUUUUUCAUGGGGUCUUUUUGAACCAUUCUUAGUCUGGCCCCUCACCUGAGACCACUUUGCCAAGGGUAACCCUACCAGGAGCACAAGGCUCCCGACAACACAGCCCUCAGAGUCAUAGGGACACACAAACCUCUCCACCACGAUAAGGUGACGGUUACCAGCCUGCUUCAAGGCCUCCACCAUCAUCCCUGUUCCCAAGAAGCCCAGGACUCAAUGACUACAGACCCGUCGCCCUGACCUCUGUAGUCAUGAAGUCUUUUGAACGGCUAGUCCUGUCCCACUUGAAGACCCUCAAUGACCCCCUCCUGGACCCCCUGCAGUUCGCCUACAGAGCCAACAGGUCUGUGGACGAUGCUGUCAACAUGGCCCUCCACUACAUCCUCCAGCAUCUGGACUCCCCAGGAACCUACGCCAGGAUCCUGUUUGUGGACUUCAGCUCUGCUUUUAACACUCUUCUUUCCACUCUUCUCUUCUCCCUGUACACAAACAGCUGCACCUUCAGUCACCAGUCCAUCAAGCUCCUGAAGUUUGCGGAUGACACCAGCCUCAUUGGACUGAUCUCUGGUGGGGAUGAGUCCGCCUACAGGUGGGAGUCUGACCAUCUGGUGUCGUGGUGCAGCCAGAACAACCUGGAGCUCAACGCUGACAAGACAAUGGAGAGGAUUGUGGACAGGAAGAACAGAGUCCCACACUGCAUGAAAAGUGAGAUUUUCGUCCCCGUAAACGCCCGGAAAUCUCCCAAAUUUCCGACAAUUUGCAACCCGCGCACGUCGUGUUUGUCUGUGCCACAAAUUGUCGGAAACGAACCAUGACGUAGGCGGAGAGCUGGCGGAGGUGCGAAUGGCCCGAAUUAGCAUAUGAAUGCAGCGAAGCCGCGGGUGGCCGAGCGGAGCGGGCUUGAAUAUCCUUACUCCUUAUUGGAUGAAACCACAACUUACGAACAAAUGAAAUCACUCGUGAUUGGCAGCAAAACCACACUUGGGCAGACCAGGCUUGAGUUUCCUUGUUCAUGAUUGGAUGAAAACAUCUUUCAAUCACUCGUGAUUGGUUGGCAGAUCUGUCGCUAUUGGUCACCCGCCUCAUUUUAUUUAUAUAUUCAUAUUAUGAUGUAUAUUCAUUUCAUUGUUAUCAUAUGCAGGCUACUACACUAUUAUUAGGAUACCGACCAGGACAUCAAUGAAUUUAGAGAGAAAAUGAACAUUUGCCACAUGUUUAUGCAAAGAAAAAGCUUUAUUAACAACACACAAACAACAACUACAUACAAAGUGAGGAUCUGCCCACACUUGGGUAACGGCGGUUUAAAAACUACAGCUCAGUAAACUGUCCGUUUGCCUCCUCGGGGUUGUUGACCGUCACUGGCGCCGUGUUUUCCGAGGCAGGUCUGUUGUGCAGGCGGCUCGUGUGCGUGUGGCGACCGUACAAUCCACCCCGAGACCCCGCCAACAACGCCGUCCCCUCCGUCCGACGUGAGCUCCACGGUGGCGGAUUUCCAGCGUUCCACCUCGUCAUCAGCCAGCACACUUUGUCUCGAUUCCAGCAGCUGUAAAAACAACAAUGAAUCAGUACUGUGCGAUGCGUACGGACACAACACAUCGAUCAAUGCACCUGAAAAAAGUCAGCAAAUAAACUCUGACCCGCUUUCUUCUCGCUCAACUCCGCGCUGAAUCCUUCGCAGCUUCCGCUCGCAAUGAGUGUUCCGCCUGAACCUGAAGCUCCUGCGUCCCGUCUCACAAUACGUCUCACAGGCGGCUGGAAAACAAUUAAAUGAGUGUGGUAUGAAUACAAAAAGAAAGUCAAACGCAAGUCACAGUAACAUUUAACAAGGAAGGAGAAACAGUGCCACUUACACACAAUGACGUCGUCUAAAUCUGGAUUUUUCCCGGAGCAAAUACGAGGUCACCGCCUCAUUAUGAGGCGAGAUUAGUCUGUGAAAACAAAAUGUACAGUUAUGAUCGGUAUCUAUACGUAUAUAUUCCCUUAUAGCGCAGAAUGAAAGCAUAUUCUUUAAAUCUGACCCUUGCUCCGGUUCGUAGCGCCUGUAAUUAGUCUCGGAGUUGUGAAGACGGUGCACCGCUUCCUGUAAACGACACGGCAAAGAAAACACACUUUAAUCAAGCUGUUUCUGCUCACUUGUAAGGCUACUAGGCUACUCUUAGCUUAGCUUGAGGUUACGCUACUUUUAGCUUAGCCUGCAGUCAUCGAACGUAUUCUUACCGCUAUCUUGGGAUCGGAACUUGGGUCGGUUCCUCUCCUCCAUGGACAGAAACCCGCAGAGUCCCGAACGCUCCAGUGGAGCGAACCGCUCGUUGAUAUCGGCAGUUUGUUGUUGGAGUUGACAAGACGAUCCACUGAGAGCUUUCAGCAGCUUCUUCUCGUCUGUCUGCGGACUGGCCGAAAGUUGGUGACCGCGGAGAGGAGUUGAAGGCGAGUUGAACGCGAGAUGUCGUCCAGCCAUUAUUCACGAACCAGCAAAAACCAAACAAAGGAACUGGAGAUACAGUUCUUCUGUGUAUAGUAACACACACGUGUCUGUUUGCAUGCUCGUCUUGUAAGUACUGCUGUAUCAGUUAUGCCUAUGACCUCACACGUGAUUGGACGAGGAGUCUAAGGGUCCUCCAAUCACAUACGAGGUUAUUGUUAUACGGAAGGAUCAGUAUUUUAGGAAGACAAAUGGUUGGGACUUUGAAACAGCUGAUAUGCUUUAUGUAAAGCAGUGUUUUGGUGUCAGCAGAACGACUUUCCCUAGAAAACUGUACAGUGGUGCCUCUUUCUCCAUUCCACCAGACAAUCUUGAGUCUGAAAGACAUGCAAUGUUGACAAUGUAUAAUCAGAUGUACCCUUGUGUUACCGAGGUUGAAUGUUUUGCCGUGACAUGUAAACGGGUAACAUAUAUGAAUGUAACUUACUCAAUCGAUAGAUGCAGAGCAUAAAGGUCAGCGUAUGUUCAUGCUAAGUGGUGUGGAAACACUAACAGUUUUGAGGAACCCGUCCUUGACCCUCUAGCAGAACCACGACCAGCCAUUAUAAAGCAGUUUAUAGUUGUUAAUGUUGUGUCAAAGGGUAUGUCAUUUAAACAUGUUCUUGCACAAGUUUCCUGGCUUCAUCUCCACCCGGACAGACAUUUUUAUGGAAAGCCAAUAGAAGUUUGGGGCUUGCAGGGAACAGACACGUCGUACCCAGCAUCAUUUCUGCCAGUUGAGCGCAUUGCUAGAAGAUGUGUGGUUAAUACAUCCUCUGUGCAUUUAAGAAGACCAAAGAAAAGGUCACUGUAGUCCUGCCACUAUGCACUGUAGUUGAGUUCUAGGAGACUAUGAUCUCUGCAGACACCUCAUGCUGAUUCAAAUGUUGUUUGCAUGGAAUGCUCAUUUUACCUUGAUUAAAACUCAUCUUUUAAGGAAGUUAUUGUGUGUAUCUUUUUUACAUAACAUUUGCCAUUGCUAAUGGCGUACACAGUAAUCUAGCAUAUUUGAAUUAAAUAAAUCAAUUCAAGCUAAAAUGUAAGACUAUAAUUAGGCUACUGAGCCUGAUCUAAAAAAAAUGUCACCUGGGCUAAAACUCCCUCUGCAACCCUGAUUUGCAUUUGUAUAGCUCACAGCAUUUUCAUUUACAUGUCAAAGCCUCCCCUAGAAUUAGGAGGAGGGGGGUCAUGGGGGGACAACUGCCAAGGGAGGCCCACAUCAAUUUCUGACAAUUUCCGGCAGUUUUCGGCGUUGCCUGCAAAUUGCCGCAAACCUGAAAUUCCACGACAAUUUACAGUGCCACAUACUGCCGAAAAUCCCACUUUUCAUGCAGUGUUAAAUUCAUUAUUUUCCUCAACAUUCUACACACAACAACCCAUGAUGACAAAGUGAACUGUUUUUUGCAAAUCUUUGCAAAUGUGUUAAAAAAUAAAGAACGAAAACAUAACAUGUACAUAAGUAUUCACAGCCUUUGCCAUGACACUCAAAAUUUAGCUCAGGUGCAUUCUUUUUCCACUGAUCAUCCUUGAGAUGUUUCUACAACUGAAUUGGAGUCCACCUGUGCUAAAUUCAGUUGAUUGGACAUGAUUGAGAAAGGCACACACCUGUCUAUAUAAGGUAUCACAGUUGACAGUGCAUAUCAGAGCAUAAACCAAGCCAUAAAGUCCAAGGAAUUAUUUGUAAACCUCCGAGACAGAAUUGUACCGAGGCACAGAUCUGGCGAAGGGUACAGAAAGAUUUCUGCAGCAUUGAAAGACCCAAUGAGCACAGUGGCCUGACAGAGCUCCAGCGUUGUUCUAUGAAGAGAGGAGAACCUUCCAGAAGGACAACCAUCUCUGCAGCACUCCACAAAUCAGGCCUGUUUGGUAGAGGGGCCAGACGGAAGCCACUCCUCAGUAAAAAGCACAUGACAGCCCGCCUGGAGUUUGCAAAAAAGCACCUGAAGGACUCUCAGACCAUGAGAAACAAAAUUCUCUGGUCUGAUGAAACAAAGAUUGAACUCUUUGGCCUGAAUGCCAAGCGUCAUGUCUGGAGGAAACCAGGCACUGGCACAUUUUGGAAAAAGGCUGUAACAUAACAAAAUCUGGAAAAGUGAAGCUCUGUGAAUACUUUACGGAUGCACUGUAUAUAAGCUGCACCGGUCUGUAAGCCGCAGGUGUUCACGCGGUAGUAAAACGACUGCUGACGCCGAGUUGUCCAUGUCGGAGUUGACAUUGCCGUCUCCAACCAUUGAUUCAUUAUUAGCAAGUUUACGUACAGCCAGUGGUGUAGUCUACGUGACACGCAGGUAUACGCCGUAUACCUAGUAGGAAAAGUCAAGGAUUUCUGAUACCCUCCAACGAACGCGUGAUGAUACGAAACAACAUUGUUUCCACUCCCUCCAGGAAAUAUACAAGACCACGAAUCGUUACUGAUGGAUUCAUUCCAUUUAUGGACAUCUCUCUCUCCACACCAUCUUCAUACACCUUUAUCGACUUGUCGUCCACAUUGGUAUCCAGCGUCGAACUAUAACACAUUGACAGGCUUCAAGCUAUCGUCAUACGUAUUGAAAACAAAUAUGUAUGACAAAACCUUAAAAAUAACGAACCUCACUGGCUGCACACGACCAAGAGGGGAAUGAGAACACUUUAAAUCAAUGACUACUUAUUGGGCACCCUGUCUUUUUAAUUAUUAAUCAUUUUGCGGAAUAUUAACGCUACUUGAUGCUUCACAUGCUACUUGGGCUUCGUGACACUAAACUAUGUCCCUGCGAAAGGAAUUAAGUAAACAUAGUUGUUACUUAGUGUAAAUUAAACAAAAAAUACAUGUUCCACAAAAUGCACAACAACCAAUAAAUAAACAAGUGCAUCAAAAUGACAAAUUAUAUUCAUGACAGUUAAAAUCUGACUCCGAGCCGUGUAGGCUCCUAUUCAAACUCCCCGUUGGCCCUAGUGUAUAAACCGCAGGGUUCAAAACGUGGGAAAAAGGUAGCGGCUUAUAGUCCGGAUUUUACGGUGACUAAUAAAUACACUUCCGCUCUUACAGAAACACUCAAUACUGUAAACCGUUAACAAAUUAUAUUAAUAGUUUGAAGUUAAAAAAACGUCCUUAAUGUAGUCAAUCGUCGUCUUGUGCUUUAAAAAAAAAAAAGUAUUGGUUUAGGCACUGGUAUGUUUUAAACAUUGUUUUAGCCACGUUAUCGUAAAAAAUCCAAAUCAUACCCAUUCCUAGUGGAUAAUUGUAAAUGUUUUUCUUGUUGCCAUACACUGUGUAUGCUUUUGAAUUCUCAUUGUUUGUUAGUUUAAAUACUACAUCAUCUUCUCACUUUUACUUGUACACACCGAGAUUUCACAAAAUGUUUAGUUAUGGAAUUCAUGUCAUGGAUAUCCAUUGGUCAUCAUUGGACAUAUCUUUUUCACAUAAUUAUUAUUGAGGAAAUUCCAGCAUCUUUUGAAAGCACCAAUAUAAAAUAGUGUAGAUUGAGCAAACAAGUGUUAAAACAAAUUAGGAUAUGGAGAUCUUUUGUUUCAAAUUUUUCCAUAGAGUCAUGCAGUAUUUAGAUCAUUUAGUCCUGUAUUUGAAUAACCAUCACCAGCAACACUUUACAAAGCAGACGAAGGACGUCUGUGAAGUCAGCACAUUGAGCUCUACUUAUUUUUUUUAUCAUAGUCCAUAACUCUACAAAUUGUGUCCCUGUGACCUCAACAUAAGUCAAUGGAAUCAGAAAUUGCAUAAAUGUUGAUAAUUAUGGCUGUUUAUCAGUAUUGAUAUCUAGGUGCAGUUCUGCACGCUGGGCCAGCAAUAAUGCAAUUUUAUUCCAGGCGGAAGAGAAGGGGAAUUAAAUCAUGGGACUGGAACAGGAUGCCCUGGGAGAUAACCAGGGUAAGCCAAAGAGGACACCUGAGCUCUCUCAAGGAUGGAUGCUCACGGGGAAAUAUAGAUGCUGCUGUGAGGACCAGUACUUUGCAUCUUGUAUCCAGGUUUAAAAACAAAAAAGUCAAAUCUUUUUUUUUUCAUCCUUUUUGAGAACCAUAAAGCUGAUUGUCAAUUUAAUCACAAUAACAUAAAAUGAAUAUUUAACAUAUUGCAUGAACAGUUCCGUGGUUUCAUUUCAUUAUUAAAAUUGAACAUCUAUUAAAAUUCAUCUAUUGCAUUUCAGUAUUUAAAUUACCCUUAACAUUGUGGUCGCGUUGAGAUUUCAAAUGAAGUGUGCAACGCAACACAAUGAAAUGUUGAUAUUAACUGCGCAGACACGUGUAACAGAACACUAAACUAAUGCAAGUUAUAAGUGUAUUAAUCUUUAUUGAUAUACUUUACAAAGGAUAAAUGGAAAUCAAUUAAUAUGGCUGCUGGAGAUUCUUUCUCUGAAGAUGUCCCAUAUUUAAGAAAAGUAAAGUAUGCCAAUUAUUAUAAAAGAGAUACAACGGAUUGGAUGCCACUCCUAAAGUUUCAUAGCUGUGAAACAGAAUAUUGAAAGCUUCAAAAUAUUUUGAAUUGGUAGCUUUCAAAACUAAUAUAUUUGUGCCAUCUACUAAAGACCAAACAAUUUUUUUGGCCCCUUCCUGGAAAAUUGCUUCAUCAUCAAAAGAGGAUAUUUAAUGUUUGCAAACAGGAGCCAGAGUUGGAAAUAUAUAGUUGGAAGAUAAACAUGCUAAAACAGGGGGGCUCUGGCUGGUAGUUGACCAUCUUUCAUCAUCUUUGGCACCACAAGAUUACAAACAAACAUCUUGAUCAUUUUGUAAAGGUCACACAGAAAAAAGGAAGGGCUGAGGCCAGAAUUGGCCUGCAUUUAUUGGAUAAAUGUAUAUUUUCCGUUCAUCAAUCUUAUCCUUCUACCUUCACUGAGGGCACAGUUAACCUGGAGUCCAUUUCGCUUGAUAUAGGUUGUGCACAGAGGGAUGGUAGGAUAUUUAAGGACUACUCCUUCGUUUAUAUUUUUUCAAUUUAACUCAUUCCUUAGAUCUCCGUUUCUAAUUUUGUAGUAUUGGUCAUAUUUUUUUAGUUUUAAGCGCAAUUUGGGGUGGACAUUUUUUGUAUGUGCAGUCAGACGAGUUCAUUAUUUACCAGUCCACUCAUCGAACCUGGAUUGAAUUUGAACAGGGGAAUAUCCCCUGUUUUCUGUCUAUUCUGUCAGAAAGCCCAGCGCUGCAGUGGAGUUACAACAACACGGAAAAAAAUAGGCAUCAAAUCGUUAGAGCAUUCGAUGCUGUAUCCGCUAUGGGUAUCAUUCUCUUAUACAAACCUUGUCAAAUUCCAAAAACCAUCAAGUAAUCAAAGUGUAUAAAUCAUAAUUGUCCCUUGCCUAUGCCAUUUUUAAUGGAAUUAUAAACUUAAUUCAGUUUUUUGCGAAUUUUGUGCGCCUCACAAGCACUCAUAGCCUUUCACGCAGAUUUUGGGGGACAAUUCUAGUCGGAUCCAAUUGAACACGACGAAUCAAAAAAGUGGUUUAACCAUGCGAAUUGGCCAACCAGAGCCCGAUUUAGGAAAAAAAUCCAGAUUUUCGCCCCUGCCGUUUCUAUGCCGUGAGGCCUACACUAAAGCCGCUCUAUAGUAGUCCAGCUUCACACUAUUAACGUAAAAUUUUCCAUGAUUACUUUCUAUCACGUAGAUGUGUUUUAGUUACACUUUUUAGCGUGGAUCUUUUUCGCACAGUAAACAGUAAACCUGUACAUGAGCAGACGAGGCCCUCCUUAAGCCUAGUUUAUGCUUCUGCGUUUUCAGAGCGACGCAGACGCAAGACCCCCUUGAGUGUCCCUUGCGUGCCUUUUCACACGUCCUUGCGUGUCUCGACCCAUUUUUCUAGGCUUGCGAUGCUUUCGACGCAAGCCUCCCACAGGGCACAAGGCUGUGAUUGGUCUGCUAACUACAUCCUUUACGGAGUCUCACAUUUCCGUUUUCAUAGCACCGCCAUAAUACCGCCAUUAUUAAAACGAAGAAUGUUUACAAGAGAACGGAUCAGAUUUACGAACUUUUGUCGAAGGAAAUGCGUAAAUAUGACCGCUUAUACAAGCCGUCAUUGGAUUCAUGGAGGGAGAUCGCCGCAAACGUUGGUUUGCCGGUCGAGGUGCACAAAGUUGUGGAGGAAAAUACGGGACAAAUGUGUCCGCGAUGAAAAGCAGCAGUGGCGAUGCACGGGACAAUAAAGUCUAUGAUAACAAAACACGUUAUUCCACCUGUUCUGGCGGUGAAUUGCUCUGCAACACACGCAAGACUUUUAGAACUAUGAAUUGAAACGAGUGCGUCAACGCAGAAGCAUGCGCCAGCCUUAACUUAACAAACCCAAUUAAUAAAUGUCAUGAUCCAUCCAUCCAUUGUCAAACCGCUUAUCCUGCACUCAGGGUCGCGGGGGGGCUGGAGCCCAUCCCAGCCAACUUCGGGCGAUAGACAGGGUACAUCCUGGAUUGGUCGCCAGCCAAUCGCAGGGCAACACAGAGACAUACAACCAUUCACACUCACAUUCACACAUCUACGGGCAAUUUAAAGUCCCCAAUUAACCUGAUCCCCAGAGCAUGUCUUUGGACUGUGGGAGGAAGCCGGAGAACCCGGAGAGAACCCACGCAGACACGGGGAGAACAUGCAGACUCCACACAGAAAGGCCACUGGGCGGAAUCGAACCCAGGACCUUCUUGCUGUGAGGCAACAGUGCUAACCACCAUGCCGCCCAAAUGUCAUGAUAGCAAAAAAUAUGUUAACUGCUGCAGUUCCAUCCUGAUCUCAUCACUUUUUAACUAACAUUGAAAUACAUUAUACAACAUCUAAAAAUGGAUAUUCUAGCAACACACUAUUUCAAAAAUAUCUCAACUGCAUGACCUCCGAACUUCCACAAAUUUGAAAUUUGAAACACAUCCCUUCUCUGAGGUGUCUUCCCACAAGCUCUGUAAACUGUAGUUCUUAAACCAAUCCUUAAACGAAAAGGGUAAAUUCACUUGUAAAAGUAUUGCAUGUGACACAGUCAACCAUUAUAUACUACUGGAGAGACUACAAAUCUGGGUGGAACUCUGGUUCGGCAAGCAAGGAGAAUACUUUGUAGCUAAUUACACAGCAGAGCAGACCAAAAUGACAUGUUGUGCUCCCCAAGGUUCAAUUCGGUGGCCUCUCCUAUUCAACAUCUACAUGCUUCCAUUAGCUCAGGUAAUGGAAAGGCGCAGUGUGAAGGCAAGUGUGUUGUCAUAAUUAUGCAGACGACCCACAAUUCUACAUAACUGUAUCCCAUACAAGAGUUUAGUAAAUGCAUUGAACAAAUCUGGAUCAAAGAAACUGGAUCUGCCAUGAUUGUCUUCAAUAAAGCAAAGAUCAAACAGAAGUAAUUGUUCUGAUUUUAAACAUGAACCACCCAGGAAAUGUAGGUGUGAACUUUAGUAGACAGGACUAUUGUAACGGUGUGUUCACAGGUCUCUGUAAAAAGUUAAUCACAUUCCUCCAGUUCUGAGAAUGCUAUACAAAUAAUCCUCCCUUGUUUGCUAGGGUCUUUUUGCCUGACUAAUAGCGUCCAGUUCUCAGACUGGUUUCCUUUGUCUUGUCCUCUAUACUUGCUAAUGAGAAUACAAACGGUACAGUUUUGAUAAUUUCUUGCUUGGUUCAACCAUUUAUACUCUUUGCACCGUGCACUGCAUUACUCUUUGAAAGUUCGGAGAGCCUAAAAAUCAAAAAGCUGUGAAUAAUCCCACAAAAUGUGUGGCCAGUGUUUUCCACAGAUCCAACGUCAAUGUGUAAAUGGUAAAUGAUCUUUACCUGUACAGCGCUUUUCUAGUCUUCCGACCACUCAAAGCGCUUUAACACUACAUGACAUCAUUCAUACACUGAUGACAGGAGAACCAUACACAGUGACACCUGCCCAUCAGUAAUUAACAUCCACACACUGUAGUCCCAGCUAAAGGAGCAAUGUUGGGUUAAGUGUCUUGCCCAAGGACACAUCGACAUACGGGUUAGCCAGGCCUGUGAUCGAACCGACAACCCUCUGAUUUGGAGGACGACCGUGCUCCCCACUCGCCCACAAUGUCCAAUUGUGGGGCCUGACCGCUGAACUGAAAGAAUUCAAUCAAUAUUAAUUUGUAACACAGAACUUUAUUGGAGUAAAUACAAAACAGGGAUUCAUGCCUAUACCAACGUUGUACUAAAACACACAUCACUAGAUAGAACUACACAACUCCCAUAGCUGUAGUACACAUGUCACACCCUGUACUACUUGUUGUUACAGCCUACAUGCGCAAAGUCUGCAACUUCUGUCAGAGCAACGUCUUCUCUGCACCAAGUAGGCUAGGCCACGCUUCCAGGGAUGAUCUCGUUUUCAUGACACGCGAGACAGACGCGGUGUACACGGAGGGGAGGGGCUGUGUGUGUAUAUGUGAGACGGAGGGAGAGCAGGGAAAGGAACUGCAGCUGAACGAAUACGCUGCGUGAUUUAAAUUGUGUUAAAACAUUUUUUUUAAAGAAAUACACCAAAUGCAAUCUGUGGCGGCCAGUGUUGAAUCUGUGGCGCACCGCCACAAAUUAGUCUAUGUGUGGGAAACCACCGGUAGCUACACAAAAGCCAAAUACCAUCUCCAAUCUGUAAACAUCCCUUUCACCUGGACAAGCCCUGUGAAGUAGUCAAUGAUUUAAAGUAAUAUGUAAGGAAAGAAUUGAAUUUCACUGAAUUUCAAUACUUUUUUUGAUUUGUUAGACCUUGUUUUGCCUUUUAACAAGCAUCUAAAAAGGUCUGUAUUUUCUAAUCGGUCGACAUAUAAAGUUGCUAUGCCCAAUUGACUACGUGACCUUCUGGCGUGCUCCUCUCACAGGCUACUCAAUGGAGAGAAAGAACUGGCUUUAAAUCCCAAACACACGCUCCUUGUAUCUGCCUUUCUAUCCAAUGUAGGUUACUCACCCCCCAUCGCUCUACUAUUGCCAAUUUUCCAUCAAGCUCUCAAUAGCAGGGAUGAAGAAAACGGACAGGGACCGGCCACUUUCAUUUUAUCUGUAAAUCGAUAGAGAAGGCUGAGGCCGCCGUUUAAGACACAAUACGUUUAUAUUUACCAUUUCACUCUUUAUCUAUCAAACUCUCUCAGCUCCUCUAGUCAGUCUUGUUUAUGUUUUCCUCACUCGGUCCAUCACUCUCACUUCUGUUUGCUCGGUUGAACUUUCUGCCACUAUUUUUUUCUUUGCACACGUGGAAAAUCAAAGACACACACGUGUUGUAUUUAGCCUGCUGCUCCUGCUAAGUCAUCAGCAUCGAUGAGUUUCACUGUGAGGCUGUUGAUUUCCCAUAAAAAGCCCUCCUUAGACACUUAGAACACUCCUGCUGUUGUCAUUAAAUCGGUUCGCUUAACCUGCUCUUUUCCAGGAACACCAGUAUUCACCAGUGGCAUAGUGCAUGCAAUUAUGACAGGUCCCAAUAUUUGCGAUGCAAACUUUGGGCCCCAGUUCAUUUUGUGCCUUUGGGCCCCAGUGCUUGGUCUCACCAAAGGCUCCUGUACGCGCAAUUAUCACAAGCCCCACCAACUGCUGAUGUGCUCAGCUUGUUAGUUUGUACAUAUAAACCAGGUAACUAAAUAAAAUUGUCAUGUCAGAUGAGCAAAUAAUUAUUUAUAACUGCAGAU